This 419-nucleotide ribosomal RNA is filed under the name bacterium. RNAcentral's name for it is "partial 16S ribosomal RNA". It matches the Rfam family "Bacterial small subunit ribosomal RNA", at positions 355 to 776 of the family's 1533-position model. The record is from RNAcentral.
UGGGGGAGAUUGCACAAUGGGCGAAAGCCUGAUGCAGCGACGCCGCGUGGGGGAUGAAGGCCUUCGGGUUGUAAACUUCUUGUGCUCUGAACAAGGCGCACCAUGGGGUGUGUUGAGUGUAGGGGUUGAUUAGCGCCGGCUAACUACGUGCCAGCAGCCGCGGUAAGACGUAGGGCGCGAGCGUUGUCCGGUAUUAUUGGGCGUAGAGGGCUUGUAGGUGGCUGGUUGCGUCUGUCGUGAAAGCUCAUGGCUUAACUGUGGGUUUGCGGUGGGUACGGGCUGGCUUGAGUGCAGUAGGGGAGGCUGGAAUUCCUGGUGUAGCGGUGGAAUGCGCAGAUAUCAGGAGGAAUACCGGUGGCGAAGGCGGGUCUCUGGGCUGUUACUGACACUGAGGAGCGAAAGCAUUAGGAGCGAACAGG